AGGAACAAGAAAACCGAGAGAGAAUUUACCAUAACGCACUCAAAGUUUUUAUGUUUGAUUUUCAGUUCAAUGGACAACAGUUAUGUGUGGAUGCUGCCAGAGAGGAUGGAUCACUAGGGAGACUGGUAAAUGACGACGAAGUGAACCCAAACAGCAAAAUUAAAGUUACAAGAGUGGAUGGAAGACCCCAUCUGUGUUUAUUCGCAAUCAAAGAUAUUGGUUCAGGGGAAGAAAUCACUUAUAACUAUGGUAAUUCGGAUUGGCCAUGGAGAAGCAAGGUAGUUAUAUAAAGUUUAUAUAAAGUUAUCUUAAGUAGAAAUAGUAGUAUAGAGUGGUUAAAGGGGUCAUAUAAUGGUAUGUUUUUUCCAGUCAGAUUUGAGCCGUUCGACCUAGUGACAUCACUUUAUCGGACGCCACUCUCACGAUUGAUAAUUGACAAGAUGAGACUUAUUUAGACUUGACUAUUUCAACUUGUUCAGUCCUAUUCAAAAUGUUAGAAACUGACAAGUAAACAGAUUUCUGUUGACCUUAUUUAUCAAUAUAAACUAAUAUGAGGUAUAUCUUGAAGUGUCUAAACUCAUAGGUCCUGUGUAAUCCUCACCAUGUAAGGUUCAGACAUUAGCAGGUCUGUUAGUUUUGUGCAUUAGAUAUGAACUCAUGAGAAUGAUAUUAAGUAGUAGUAUUGAGACGCACGGUCCUGUGUAACCAUUAAGGUACAAACUCUCGAUGACUUUUCGUCUCUUGAUUAGUUUAGACUUCCAAAGAGAUGCCAUGUCAGGCUGCUGAUGUGGACAAAUGCAGUUCCUUUGCAGUCAUUCCAAAGACUUCCAAAGAGAUGCCAUGUCAGGCUGCUGAUGUGGACAAAUGCAGUUCCUUUGCAGUCAUUCCAAAGACUUCCAAAGAGAUGCCAUGUCAGGCUGCUGAUGUGGACAAAUGCAGUUCCUUUGCAGUCAUUCCAAAGACUUCCAAAGAGAUGCCAUGUCAGGCUGCUGAUGUGGACAAAUGCAGUUCCUUUGCAGUCAUUCCAAAGACUUCCAAAGAGAUGCCAUGUCAGGCUGCUGAUGUGGACAAAUGCAGUUCCUUUGCAGUCAUUCCAAAGACUUCCAAAGAGAAGCCAUGUCAGGCUGCUGAUGUGGACAAAUGCAGUUCCUUUGCAGUCAUUCCAAAGACUUCCAAAGAGAUGCCAUGUCAGGCUGCUGAUGUGGACAAAUGCAGUUCCUUUGCAGUCAUUCCAAAGACUUCCAAAGAGAUGCCAUGUCAGGCUGCUGAUGUGGACAAAUGCAGUUCCUUUGCAGUCAUUCCAAAGACUUCCAAAGAGAUGCCGUGUCAGGCUGCUGAUGUGGACAAAUGCAGUUCCUUUGCAGUCAUUCCAAAGACUUCCAAAGAGAUGCCGUGUCAGGCUGCUGAUGUGGACAAAUGCAGUUCCUUUGCAGUCAUUCCAAAGACUUCCAAAGAGAAGCCAUGUCAGGCUGCUGAUGUGGACAAAUGCAGUUCCUUUGCAGUCAUUCCAAAGGACUGUGUUCAUGAUCUUGUCCCUGAAGAAAUGUCAAGUUUAGAAAAAUGUGUCACAUGUGGCGGA
Long non-coding RNA from Cyprinus carpio carpio, 1579 nucleotides. The record is from Ensembl. NCBI's taxonomy places the organism in Eukaryota, Metazoa, Chordata, Actinopteri, Cypriniformes, Cyprinidae.